UUGCCAGCUGAUCCUAGCUUCAGGAGGUUUGCAGCGCUGGGAAAUGGUGCCGCGUGGGCAGACGAAAGGGACACGGCGCGGUGCAGGAUCACGGCUUCUCAGCCAAAGGGGAGAGGCAGAACAUGGCCUGGGAUGCAUUUCUUGAGCUGCAGCCAAACGUGUCAGACUUCUCUUGACAGUGACCUGAAGAAUGGAGAGUGGGGAAUGCCUGGGUUCAGUCGACUGACAAAAAAAUCCCCAUAAUUUGUUUUAUCGCUUAGGAACUUUCCACAGAUCAG
RNAcentral lists this long non-coding RNA (278 nucleotides) under Cyanoderma ruficeps (rufous-capped babbler). RNAcentral's name for it is "lncRNA (ENSCRFG00000005589.1)". Lineage: Eukaryota; Metazoa; Chordata; Aves; Passeriformes; Timaliidae. The record is from RNAcentral.